Small nuclear RNA from Solanum verrucosum, 104 nucleotides. Lineage: Eukaryota; Viridiplantae; Streptophyta; Magnoliopsida; Solanales; Solanaceae. The record is from RefSeq and is a predicted model, not a curated record.
AUUUUCCUCCCAAACAUUCCGAUAAAAUUGAAAUGAUACAGAAAAAUUAGCGUGGCUUCUGUGCAAGAAUAAAUCGAGAAACAAGUGUAGUUUUAAUUUUUAUU